Small nuclear RNA from Diceros bicornis minor, 107 nucleotides. The record is from RefSeq and is a predicted model, not a curated record. Lineage: Eukaryota; Metazoa; Chordata; Mammalia; Perissodactyla; Rhinocerotidae.
GUACUUGCUUCAGCAGGGCAUAGAAUAAAAUUGGAGUGAUACAGAGAAAGUCACUAUGGGCCCUGUGCAAGGAUGACAUGAAAAUUUGUGAAAGAUUCCAUAUUUUU